RNAcentral lists this non-coding RNA (187 nucleotides) under Rhodobacter capsulatus. RNAcentral also lists the same sequence under 1 other name. Lineage: Bacteria; Pseudomonadati; Pseudomonadota; Alphaproteobacteria; Rhodobacterales. The record is from RNAcentral.
CCAUCUUCAGCGGGCCUUGGUCCUGCGGCACGCCGCCGCGGGGUAAUAGGGAAGCCGGUGCAACUCCGGCGCUGCCCCCGCAACUGUCAGCGGCAAGCCUUCUGCAACACCCACUGGCCCCGGCCGGGAAGGGGCAGCAGGCGCCCGAGCCGCAAGCCAGGAGACCUGCCAGGCCAAAGACCAUCCC